UGGGGAAUUUUGGACAGUGGGCGAAAGCCUGAUCCAGCAAUGCCGCGUGUGUGAAGAAGGCCUUCGGGUUGUAAAGCACUUUUGUCCGGAAAGAAAUCCUUGGCUCUAAUACAGUCGGGGGAUGACGGUACCGGAAGAAUAAGCACCGGCUAACUACGUGCCAGCAGCCGCGGUAAUACGUAGGGUGCAAGCGUUAAUCGGAAUUACUGGGCGUAAAGCGUGCGCAGGCGGUUUGCUAAGACCGAUGUGAAAUCCCCGGGCUCAACCUGGGAACUGCAUUGGUGACUGGCAGGCUAGAGUAUGGCAGAGGGGGGUAGAAUUCCACGUGUAGCAGUGAAAUGCGUAGAGAUGUGGAGGAAUACCGAUGGCGAAGGCAGCCCCCUGGGCCAAAUACUGACGCUCAUGCACGAAAAGCGUGGGGAGCAAACAGGAUUAGAUACCCUGGUAGUCCACGCCCUAAAACGAUGUCAACUAGUUGUUGGGGAUUCAUUUCCUUAGUAACGUAGCUAACGCGUGAAGUUGACCGCCUGGGGAGUACGGUCGCAAGAUUAAAACUCAAAUGAAUUGACGGGGUCAUAGCUGUUUCCU
This 588-nucleotide ribosomal RNA is filed under the name uncultured bacterium. RNAcentral describes it as "partial 16S ribosomal RNA". It matches the Rfam family "Bacterial small subunit ribosomal RNA", at positions 355 to 1375 of the family's 1533-position model. The record is from RNAcentral.